GACGAACGCUGGCGGCGUGCCUAAUACAUGCAAGUCGAACGGAAAGGCCCUGCUCUUGUGGGGUGCUCGAGUGCCGCACGCGUGAGUAUCACGCGAGUAACAUGUCCUUGACUUUGGGGGAACAUCUGGGAAAACGGGCUAUUAUCCCAUAUAAGCUCUUGAUGCACGGUGGGGGUUGGUAAGAUUCGGCGGUUGGGGAUGGACUCGCGGCUUAUCAGCUUGUUGGUGGGGUAGUGGCUUACCAAGGCUUUGACGGGUAGCCCGCCUGAGAGGGUGACCGGGCACAUUAGGACUGCGGGACGGCCCAGACUGCUACGGGAGGCAGCAGGGGAAAAUCUUACGCAAUAGGCGGGAGCCUGAGACAGCGACGCCGGGUGCGUAAUGACGGCCUUCGGGGUAUAAACCGCUUUCGACUGUGACGAAGCGUGAGUGACGGUAAUGGGUAAGAAAGCACCGGCUAACUACGUG
This 468-nucleotide ribosomal RNA is filed under the name uncultured bacterium. RNAcentral describes it as "partial 16S ribosomal RNA". It matches the Rfam family "Bacterial small subunit ribosomal RNA", at positions 28 to 507 of the family's 1533-position model. The record is from RNAcentral.